CAUCAACCGACGACGACCACUCAGGACGGCAGGAGCGGGGGACCCAGGUAAGCCGCCGGGCCGGACACGCGCCGGAACGGCUAGGGGUGAAGCCAUGCCCGCAGGGGCACGGCCGGGCACUCUCCCGCCCGAACCCGACAGCUCACCUCGCAGGCGUAGGAGAGGAACC
Streptomyces caelestis is the source of this 169-nucleotide non-coding RNA. NCBI's taxonomy places the organism in Bacteria, Bacillati, Actinomycetota, Actinomycetes, Kitasatosporales, Streptomycetaceae. The record is from Rfam.